AACCAGGUAGCAUUCCUCUUCGACGUCGGCUCGACAUGACCCAAUCCAUGAGGACUCGAUCACGAUCGAAACGACCGUCGUCCGCACGUUGCGUGGAACGCUUUUCUUCGUGGGGCAAAUAAAGGUCGUGGCCUCGUGCCCACCACAUGUUCCGCAUCCGAGAGAUCGAGCAUCACGUCGUGGGCCCACAACCCGAGCACCCUUGUACGAGCGCACGAGAGAGGAACACGGCAUUUGCUUCGGGUUCCAACCCGCGCCGCAACACCGAACGGUGCAGCAGCACAGGAUGAAAAUUGAACGGUCUUGCCGGCGAAAUGCCUUCGUGGUAGGUAUAUAACACAGGAAUACCGACAUCGGACAAGGMGAAGGGGCACUUGUUCCGAAGAUUGAAGAGGCGCGGUUGGGAUGUC
RNAcentral lists this unclassified non-coding RNA (410 nucleotides) under Cyanostegia corifolia. RNAcentral's name for it is "partial external transcribed spacer". The record is from RNAcentral. Lineage: Eukaryota; Viridiplantae; Streptophyta; Magnoliopsida; Lamiales; Lamiaceae.